ACCAUCCUCCUGAGAAGUGUUCAAUAAUAUUAAUAGCUAAUGAAUCAACAGCAUUUUGGACAUUUUGCCCAUUCUCUACCUUUACUGCUCCCAUAAUGGUUGCCUUGUGCUCAGCAGUAAGGUAAUUAUCCCACCAACCUUGUAAUUGGCCUGUAAAGCCUGCUACAAUCAUUUCAGCAAUUGCUUUAUCCUUAUUACCAUUAACCUCACAAAUUGUACUAUACAUACGAAUUCUACGUAUCGUAUUAUAGAUCUGACGAUCAGUGAAGCCAUCUAUGUUCCAUUCAUAGAUUUUUGUCCCACUAAAACUAUGGGAAAGAUUGAUACCAUCGUAUCGAUUAAAAUCCAUCUGGUGGAGACGUUUUAAUUUAAAUUCUCUCACCUCUGAUGGAGGUUGGAUGCUACCAGUAGCAAUAGAAGUGAUCUGUUCACCAAGAAUCAUGCUGCUUGAGCAUAGUAUUAACCUCUUGAGCAGUAUCCAUUAAAAUCCAUCUGAAAAAUCCAUUUCGGAUGGGUUUGGGUAAAAUAAUUAAACAAAAUAAUGGAAGACGAUUUUAAGCUUACAAAGGAAGAAGAUUUUGCUGAUGAUAGGAUUUGCCCUUUUCUCUGGAUAGGAUUUUGUGUGCUACUUCAGCUCUGGAUAGAAUAUGACUUUUGCUCGGAAGAAAGAGAAAUAUAGUAUAGUAGUUACACCUGUUAAAUGGGUCGACCCGACCCGGCCCAUUUGACAGGUCCUUUCAGUUGGCCCAUAAUCCACUAACUCACUAUUUCUUCUUUAUUUAGUGUCAGAAAAUGGACCCCACAAGCACAUUUGUCAAAUGUAAAAGGUGGUCUCGUACAAUUAUUGUUGGGUGAGCCGUCCAUUUUGCUGACACUACGUUAUAAAUAAAGAAGAAAAAGUGAGUAGUGGAUUGUGGGCCAACUGAAAGGAUUAGAUAAAAUAAAAAAGGUAAAGAAUUUAUUUUGUGUCUGCUCCACUAGUUAUAUAAGAUUAUUUUUUAUCUCACAAAUUUAUAAACUUUAAUCUUACACUUUUGGAUUCACAAAAAUCCGGGUCUACAAAACUGUAAGACAAAAAAAUUGACUCAUACAACUAGUGUCAGUUGUACGAGACACGAAAUAAAAUUUUCUAAGUAAUGUGAACUGUGGGCCCCACUCAAAAUCAUAAACUCCAUCAGAAUCUGAAAUUAAGAGCGUUCACGUUUUUCUUUUUAACCACUUUUUUUUUCGGUUUCUUUUUAACCACUUGAAACAAUACCUAAAACAAAAAUUUCCCAAUCUCAAACACCAUUUUCCUCUAGUGUAUUGAGGUAUUAUUCACUCCGAUUUCUUCUACUUAAACCAAUUCUUGACCGUAUUCAUCUCUACAAUAUUUAGAACACUUUUAUAGCUUAGAGCCCGCUUGACCAAGCUGUCAAAAAUUAUUUAUUUUUAAAAGCACUUUUGUUUAAAAGUGCUUUAAAAAAAAUACUUUUGCAAAAUAAGUAGUUUGCGUUAGGCCAAUUCGUCUGAGUAGUAUUUUUUGCAAGCUCAUUGUGUUUGGCCAAUCUUUUAAAAAAAAUACUUUCAACUAUCAAAUUACAAAAAAGGACAGUAAAUGUUCAACUUGUGAUUAAUAUUAUUUAGAAAAGAAAAAUAAAGUUAAACAUUUAUUAGAAAAGAAUUUAAUUAGACAUAAAACGUAAAGUAAAAAAUAUAAAGUUAAAAUUCUAAUUAAUAUAAAAUAUAGUUAUUCCAAAGCAAUCAUAUUGAGUGUUAGGUAUUAUUUAUUAUUUACAUGAUAAACUAAAUAUGUCAAAAUAUAUCAUUCAAUAUAAAUUUAAUAUCUACUUUUAUGAAUAGGAGAAAGAGAAUAAAAAUAUAAUGAAAGUAAAAAAGAGAAUAAAUGUAUAGCAGAAAUUUAGCUCAAUUCUAAAGAUCUUCUGCAACUUAUGUUUAUCCAUGAAUUUAAGGUAAAUUCUUUUUCAAUCUCUUAUGGAUUCUUUGUAUAUUGCUCAUAACAAAAAAAAAUAUUUCAGCAACUAGGUUUAAUGCAGCUUGACAGUAAGUCUGUAACGAUCAACUGGAAGACUACAACAAAGUAAGAUAUAAUUUUCGCACUAAAAGAGUUAUAGUGAUACUACAAGUUUAUAUUGAUCUUAUUUCAACUUUAUAUUAAAUAGUAUGUAUUGAUAUAAUUUUCCUUGCAGUCAUGAUAGCAAAUAGAUCAAUAUGCAAAAGUAUCAAUGUCAGUGAGCACAAAUUUGUAUUUAUAUACCAUAAUAAGGAGCAUUUUGUUGAUAGGAAAACAUAAAUUUUAUAUUGACAAUAAGAAUAUUUUGUGAGCACAAUUUUGUAUUUCAUAUGCAUAUAAAUAAGAAAAGUAUUUUGUACGCACAAUUUUGUAUUUCAUAUUGAUAUGGAUGGAUAACUCUGAAGGUUUAGUUUCAAAGCUUUGGCAACUGAAGAUAAAUUUAGGAAAAUAUAAAUUGUGAUAACAAAAUUAAACAAAAAAAAAAGACAGAUAUAUACAAAAUGUAUAGUAGUAGUACACAAGUGAAAGGCAACCAAAGUGUGUAAACGAAGAUCACAUACAAUGGGUUAGAGAGAAAGUCUCCAGCUUCUCUCUAAAAGUUUCCUUCUUUAAUAUUCUCCAACUCCCCCUUCCUCACUUUCUUUCCCCGUCCCUCACCAGAUGAAUACUAACGAACACAAGACUUUGAACCCAAAAGACAUGCCCUUCAAUGACCAAACUGAAGAGAUGCCCAGUCAAUCUGUAUUAAACGAGCAAGAAGCCACUGGGGCAACACCGGGCCUUCUCAUCAAUACAACCCCUCCAAUGGACAUGGAAAUUUGUAAAGGUAAACAUACAGAUAAACCUGAAGCUGGAACAAAGGACACAACCAACCCCACAAAGAGGAUGACCUUCCUGGACAUCUUGGUAGCGGGUAAUACUGCAAAUAAUGAGCUAGAAGGAAGCCAAGUCACAGUCCAACAAAAUAUGGUCUCCUAUGAGCAAGAACAUGAAACUAAUAACUACCCUAACCCAGAGUUUUUCAUCCCCAUUACCUCAUCGGAUAAGGAACGUAUAUACAAGAACUGGACCAACGCUCUUAUCAAAAUGUUCGGCAGGAGAGUUGGUUACCAAUUUCUCCGAAAAAAGCUUCACGCAAUAUGAAAACCAACUGAAACCCUAUCCCCGAUGGACCUAGGAUGCGACUACUACUUAAUAAAAUUUGCUAAAGAGGAAAAUUAUAAUAAGGCCCUUCAUGAAGGACCAUGAUUUAUAGGGAACCAAUUUCUCACAGUAAGAAAAUGAGAGCCUAGAUUCGUAGCUUCCAAAGCUGCAUUAACUUACUCAGCCAUAUGGGAAAGACUCCCGGAAUUACCCACUGAAUUCUACGACUACGAUAUCCUUCAAAAAAUCGGAGAGAAGCUAGGACAACUAAUACGUAUUGAUGCAUGCACAAAAUCCGCUCUAAGGGGUAAGUAUGCUCGACUUUGCGUAAUGGUACCCAUAGAAAAACCUCUAAAAACCUAUAUUGUGAUUGGCAAACACAUACAACAAAUUACCUACGAGGGGUUUAAUAUCCUAUGCACAAAUUACGACAAGCUUGGACAUAACCUGAGUAGCUGUCCUCACCAAGCGCCCAAACCAGUAGAACUCCAGGAAGCAAGCUCAUCCAAUACACUGCCUAAGCCUCACACGGUGGAGACACUCACCCAUAAGAUUGACCAAUGGACUAUUGUCUCCCACCAAAAGAAAAAUAAAAAACAUCAAAACAACUUUCAUAACCUAAGCCCUAGAGACGACCUAGAGCAUCCUAAGGGAUUGACUACAAAAAAACCUAGCCAAAGUACUCAAAGAUGGCAAAGGUCUGAAAAUGGAAAUGACCAAAGGCUAUCUCCUAACUUUGAGGGAAGCAAAAACCCACUGAACAAUACUAAAACUUUAGGUGAAACCCCAGCCACCCCAUACCGUUACCCUACAGUCCAAAGCCAAUAAUUGGAUAAUAUUGUACCUAAAGACUCAAGACAUCAACAUCAAAAUGACAACCCCUUCUCUUGCCUUUACCCUAAGGAUCUUGCCAUAACCAACCUAGAAACCAUUAACUUUCCCCAUAACUCAUAUACACCCUUGGGCAAUAACUUUCACAAAACAAAAGCUUAUGAUGAUAGCCCCUUAGCUGCAGCAAUAGUACCAUCGAAGGACAACAUCAAGGAACAAUCUAUGGACAUAGACUCUAUAAUACCUACAAAAAAUAAUCACCAUCAUUAAUGCAAAACCUUGUAGCCCACAAAUCAUCCCCUCCAAUCUGCCUAUACGUGCCUCAAGAACCCUACAACAAAUACUAAGUACAAAUCAACCUUACUCAUUGUCAACCUCAAGUCAUAACACCAUUAAUGAAUAAGACACUUUGACUCCUAGGACGGACAAAAAUUUUGCAACACAUAUUGGCCCCUCUACAUUAGCAAUGGAUACAAAUAACUACUUACCCACUAGUAGGGAUUCCAACACUCCAAAAGUCUCAACCCUAAGUAAAACCAAAACACAAGAUGCCAAGGCUACCACACAACCACAACAGGAGGUACCCAAGGCCAAGAAGGAAUGUUUGGACGAGGACACAACUCCCAAACCAAUCCCAAACACCUCUGAUAUUCACAACAAGACCCAUACAACCAGACCAUGCCCCCCAAUCUUGGUUGGAAUGGGGUCUCAUGGGACAUGCUCUGAACAUAAGCCUUAAACUAGAAGGGAGGGAUCUAAUAGUCCAAAUAGGGGAUCAGUCAUACCUAGCUCAGAUUGUAACGGAAGGGAUGCAACUAGGAUUGAACAACGCUAUGAUCCGUCCAUGGAUGAGUCCCCAACAUCCCUACCCCAUGCAAAUGAACCUAGGUCCUCAUCCCUCUCCAUGGAGCUCCCAUGCAUGGCUCCAACAGCCUACGUUCAACAUGCCCAGCCCCAACCUACCCAUGUACCCAUCUCAUGCAAUCCCCCAAACCCUAGCUCCUACUAUCCAAACUGCCCAAGCCUAGCCAAACUCCCAACCCAACAGCAACACUCUCAUAACACCACUGCCCAAAAUAAUACCACCCUCAACCCUUCAAGUUUCGAGCCAAGCACAGAUGACAACUCCAACUCCACAAAACUCAAGCCAAACUAUGAUGGAAGAGAAGGAAGAAGAGGAAGAAUUCCCAACAGAAAGAAUAGUGGGGCACGGAGUGUUAAGAUAUACAAAAACAAUGGCCUUCCAAGCAAGAAGAGAAAAAAGGUUCAUCUUAAGUUGCCCAGUGGAUUUGAGGAAAUGCUCCAUCUCUAUCAGGAAAGUGAACCCCCCAAGCAUUUAUCAACAUGUAGUAGUGUUAGUACCAACAAUGUUUACUCAUUAUUGGAUGCAACAGGAGGACAUGAGGAGCAUCCACAGUCCUACCAGUAUCCAUGAUAGGGGAGUAUCAAGCAGAAACAUCAGUAUGAAUAUGAUCAUUUAGAACUGUCGAGGUGCAAAUAGCGCAGAAUUUAGACGAGCUUUUAGAGUUAUGCUAGAUUAUCAUCGUCCUAGUAUAGUGGCACUGCUGGAAAUAAAAAUGGAGGACCACCAUGUCUUGGUCCAAAAUUUCGGGUACUCUAGUCUCAUCCAAAUGCCUGCUAAUGGAAACUCGGGGGCAUUGUGCUCAUGUGGAACAAUUGAGAUACAAUGGUAGACCAAAUUAGAGGAACGGAUCAAGAGAUACACGCAAUGGUAAAGGUAUGAAAUUCAACAAAAAAUUGGUUAUGUUCUAUUAUAUAUGCUAGUAAUCUCUUGGAAGAAAGAUCAAUUCUUUGGCAUAACUUAAAAACAGUAGCUAAUAAUUAUAAAGGUCCACGGCUAGUCGCGGGAGAUUUUAAUAAAGUCACUUGUGCAUCGGAAAAACUUGGAGGCUUACCUAUUAAUUAUAAUAGAGUAUCCAAGUUCUUAGAUUGUAUGAACCAAUGUGGCCUUGUAGAUUUAGGGUUCAAAGGGUCAAGGUUUACUAGGACUAAUAAAAGUAAAAAUUAUAAAAACAUAAUUAUGGAACAGCUUGAUAGAUGCAUUGCGAACACUGAAUGGUUAGAACUAUUCCAAGAUGCUAAUGUCAAACAUAUAACUAGAAGCCAUUCGGACCACUGCCCAAUCAAACUAGAAUUUUUUAAAAGGUUCUCUACUAACAAUAAUAUCUUUAGAAUAGAAACUAUGUGGCUUUCCCACCCCACUUUUAGAGCCUUAGUAGAUAAUUCUUGGUCUGACAAACCAAAUAUAACUAAAGCCAUAGAGAACUUCUGCUUAAAAGCUAUUGAAUGGAAUAAAAAUAUUUUUGGUAACAUUUUCAAUCGGAAGAGCAAAAUACUAGCUAGAUUAAAUAGAAUCCAAACCUCACAUAACUACCCCCAUAGUCAAUCCUAAUAAACCUGGAAAACGAACUCUUACACGAGUAUAAUAUAUUAUACUCAGGCAAAAGGAGGAUUUUUGGAAGCUUAAAUCCAGGGUUCAAUGGAUCCAGGAUGGUGACGCCAACACAAAAUUUUUUCAUAUCACCACCAUGCAAAGAAGAAGAAAAAAAGAAUUUUUUGCUUAAAAGACGAAGCUGGGAAUUGGCUCCAAGAGCAAAAACCCAUCAAGGACCAUAUUAUUGACUACUACACAAAUCUCUAUACCACGGGUCACAACCAAUCCCUCCUCAAUAAUAUCCACCUCUCUUACAAUUCUACAAUUAGUGAUCAAGAUCAUCCAUACCUUAGUAGUAUUCCCUCUACAGAAGAAAUAAAAAGGGCUCUAGAUUCUUUUCAACCUUAUAAAGCUCUGGGGUCGGAUGGGCUUCAUCCUUUUUUCUAACAAAAAUACUGGAAGGAGACAAGCAACCAUCUCAUAAAUUUUUGCCAAGAUUCCUUCUCAUAAAAAAAUGCUUAAAAGCAUGAAUAACACCCUAGUUUGCCUAAUACCAAAAAGCCAAAAUGCUAAAACCAUCAGACAGUUUCGACCUAUAAGCCUUUGUAACACAGCCUAUAAGGUCGUCACUAAGAUUAUUGCUAACCGCAUUAAAAUAUUCCUACCCACUCUUAUCCACCCUACCCAAACUAGCUUUAUUAAAGGAAAAAAGGUUGCAGAUAAUGCACUAAUCAUUAAUGAGGUCCUAGACCACUUCAGGAAAACUAAAGUGAAAAAGUCAAAAAUGAUGAUUAAAAUAGACCUGGAAAAGGCAUUCGAUAAAAUCGAAUGGUCGUUUGUUAGGUUUUCUCUAAACUCCUUAAAUUUCCCUCAUGACCUUGUUGAACUCAUAAUGUCCUGCAUCUCUAGCACCUCUACGACUAUCCUUAUUAAUGGAUCAAUAACAGAUUUCUUUGAACCAUCUAGGGGUAUUAGACAGGGGGACCCCCUAUCCCCGUAUAUCUUUAUCAUUUGCAUGGAAAUACUCUCUAGGUUAAUUGAUCAUGAAAUCGACUGUUGUAGAUGGACCCCAGUCAAAAUAACUCCUAAAAGCCUAGAGUUUUACCAUCUUUUCUUCACUGAUGAUCUUAUCCUCCUAGCUGAAGCCAACCAAAAGAGCUAUUACUCUAUCAUAAUCACUAUCAACAAAUUUUGCAAUGCUUCUGGACAAUCUAUUAAUUUUGAAAAAUAAAAAAUUGUGUUCUCAAGGAAUACCCCUACGGAUCAUAAAGAUCACAUUAGUAGCUGCUUUUUAAUGAGAUUUACUUAUAACUUCGGAAAGUACCUAGGCUUCCGUAUGCCCAAUACCAGCCCUAUAAAAAAAGACUUCCAAUUUAUCCUAGACAGACUAAACAAUAGACUAACAGGUUGGAAAACUAAAUUCCAUAAUAUGGCAGGUAGCACAACUCUCAUAAAAGUCACCCUAGCCGCAAUCCCAAACCACGUCAUCCAGAUUUAUGAUCUCCCCAAAACAACACUCAAAAAGAUAGAUUCUACCCAAAGGAAUUUCCUAUGGGGUAGCACAGAGGAAAAAAAGAAAUGUCAUCUUGUAAAAUGGAGCAUAGUCACAAUGCCUAAAAAACAAGGGGGCCUAGAAAUUCCUAACACCCAUUUGAAAAACUCCUCUUUCAAUGCAACUUUAGCUUGGCGAUAUAGAAAAGAUAAAGAUAGCCUAUGGUCCAAAACUAUACAUAGUAAAUACAACCAUAGGAAAAGCAAGAAUAUAGGUUCCCAUACUUGGAAAGUAAUUAAUCUGUGGCAUGAUAAUUGGAUAAAUCAAUCAGGAACACUCAGGGACUCCAUCCAAGGCUCCAUCCCAACUGGAGAGCUUGACAAAAAUCUCUCCUGCUUUAUUAAAAAUGGAAUGUUCGAUCUUAGAAACUUAUCCUUUGAACUCCCCCGGACAUCGUUUCUAAGAUAAAUUACACCUACAUAAAACAAAUUGGACCCACUACGGAUUCAUACACUUGGAACUCUAAGGAUCACAACUUCUUUUCAGUUAAAGUUGCUUAUGAAGCUGUCUCAGAAUCCAUAGGCAACGGGAAAAACUUAGCCUGGCUAUGGAAAAUCAACUCUUUAAACAAAUGAAAUUUUUUUUCUGUGGACAAUCUUUUGGGAUAAGCUACCCACUAAAGAUUUGCUAAAAAAAAAAGAGAAAUUUGCCAAGAAGACACUUGUAACAUUUGUGUAAGCACGUGAUUUUUUCCCUAUGAAAGAAUUACUCCGAAAAAAUUCAAAAUAAAAUAAUUUUUUCUUGGUGUGCAACUUUUUGAAUAUUUGUGGUAUUUUUAGAUAAUUAUUU
Molecule: long non-coding RNA, 8724 nt
Filed under: Nicotiana tabacum (common tobacco)
Lineage: Eukaryota; Viridiplantae; Streptophyta; Magnoliopsida; Solanales; Solanaceae
Description: long non-coding RNA (NTAB_LNC002463)
Source: RNAcentral